Molecule: ribosomal RNA, 621 nt
Filed under: uncultured Dacrymycetes
Lineage: Eukaryota; Fungi; Basidiomycota; Dacrymycetes
Description: eukaryotic LSU rRNA
Rfam family: Eukaryotic large subunit ribosomal RNA
Source: RNAcentral
GUAGGACUACCCGCUGAACUUAAGCAUAUCAAUAAGCGGAGGAAAAGAAACUAACAAGGAUUCCCCUAGUAACUGCGAGUGAAGCGGGAAAAGCUCAAAUUUAGAAUCUGGCAGCCUACGGUUGUCCGAGUUGUAGCCUAGAGAAGCGUUUUCUGCGUUGGACCAUGUACAAGUCCCUUGGAACAGGGCGUCAUAGAGGGUGAGAAUCCCGUACUUGACAUGGACUCCCAGGGCUAUGUGAUGCGCUCUCGAAGAGUCGGGUUGUUUGGGAAUGCAGCUCUAAAUGGGUGGUAAAUUCCAUCUAAAGCUAAAUAUUGGCGAGAGACCGAUAGCGAACAAGUACCGUGAGGGAAAGAUGAAAAGCACUUUGGAAAGAGAGUUAAACAGUACGUGAAAUUGUUGAAAGGGAAACGCUUGAAGUCAGUCGCGUCGGCCGGGACUCAGCCUUGAACGGUGCACUUCCCGGUGGACGGGCCAGCAUCAGUUUUGAUCGUCGGAAAAGGGUUUGAGGAAUGUGGCUCUUCGGGUGUGUUAUAGCCUCUUGCCGCACGCGACGGUUGGGACUGAGGAUCGCAGCUUCGGCUUAGGAUGCUGGCGUAAUGGCUUUAAACGACCCGUCUU